GUGCGCCCCCACGGAUCCGCCACCCUCCCCCACCAGGAGAUCGAACUCAUGAAGGUGGUCAAGAAGGCGUCCGACCUCAAGAGCGCCGGGGGGCUGGGCCUCCAGCUCCCCCUCAUCGUCCGCCUCCCCGACGUCCUCAAGAACCGCCUCGAGUCCCUCCAGAGCGCCUUCGACUUCGCCGUCGCCGCCAACGGCUACGCCUCCCACUACCAGGGGGUCUACCCUGUCAAGUGCAACCAGGACCGCUGCGUCGUCGAGGACGUCGUCCAGUUCGGCGCCCCCUUCCGCUUCGGCCUCGAGGCCGGCUCCAAGCCCGAGCUCCUCCUCGCCAUGAGCUGCCUCCUCCGCGGCAGCCCCGAGGCCUUACUCGUGUGCAACGGCUACAAGGACGAGGAGUACGUCUCCCUGGCGCUCAUGGCCCGGGC
RNAcentral lists this long non-coding RNA (425 nucleotides) under Ananas comosus (pineapple). RNAcentral describes it as "long non-coding RNA (ACOM_LNC003103)". Lineage: Eukaryota; Viridiplantae; Streptophyta; Magnoliopsida; Poales; Bromeliaceae. The record is from RNAcentral.